Molecule: ribosomal RNA, 368 nt
Filed under: uncultured organism
Description: bacterial SSU rRNA
Rfam family: Bacterial small subunit ribosomal RNA
Source: RNAcentral
CAGAGGGUGCUAGCGUUGUUCGGAAUUACUGGGCGUAAAGGGCGCGUAGGCGGUCUGUUAAGUUCGGUGUGAAAUCCCUCGGCUCACCCGAGGAACUGCGCCGGAAACUGGCAGACUCGAGUACCGGAGAGGAGGGUGGAAUUCCUGGUGUAGCGGUGAAAUGCGUAGAUAUCAGGAGGAACACCGGUGGCGAAGGCGGCCCUCUGGACGAGUACUGACGCUGAGGCGCGAAAGCGUGGGGAUCAAACAGGAUUAGAUACCCUGGUAGUCCACGCUGUAAACGAUGGGAACUGGGUGUGAGAGGUUAGAUCCUCUCGUGCCGCCGCUAACGCAUUAAGUUCCCGCCUGGGGAUUACGGCCGCAGGUUA